Molecule: ribosomal RNA, 1346 nt
Filed under: uncultured bacterium
Lineage: Bacteria
Description: bacterial SSU rRNA
Rfam family: Bacterial small subunit ribosomal RNA
Source: RNAcentral
GACGAACGCUGGCGGCGUGCUUAACACAUGCAAGUCGAACGGAAAGGCCCUGCUUUUGUGGGGUGCUCGAGUGGCGAACGGGUGAGUAACACGUGAGUAACCUGCCCUUGACUUUGGGAUAACUUCAGGAAACUGGGGCUAAUACCGGAUAGGAGCUCCUGCUGCAUGGUGAGGGUUGGAAAGUUUCGGCGGUUGGGGAUGGACUCGCGGCCUAUCAGCCUGUUGGUGGGGUAGUGGCUUACCAAGGCUUUGACGGGUAGCCGGCCUGAGAGGGUGACCGGCCACAUUGGGACUGAGAUACGGCCCAGACUCCUACGGGAGGCAGCAGUGGGGAAUAUUGCACAAUGGGCGGAAGCCUGAUGCAGCAACGCCGCGUGCGGGAUGACGGCCUUCGGGUUGUAAACCGCUUUCGCCUGUGACGAAGCGUGAGUGACGGUAAUGGGUAAAGAAGCACCGGCUAACUACGUGCCAGCAGCCGCGGUGAUACGUAGGGUGCGAGCGUUGUCCGGAUUUAUUGGGCGUAAAGGGCUCGUAGGUGGUUGAUCGCGUCGGAAGUGUAAUCUUGGGGCUUAACCCUGAGCGUGCUUUCGAUACGGGUUGACUUGAGGAAGGUAGGGGAGAAUGGAAUUCCUGGUGGAGCGGUGGAAUGCGCAGAUAUCAGGAGGAACACCAGUGGCGAAGGCGGUUCUCUGGGCCUUUCCUGACGCUGAGGAGCGAAAGCGUGGGGAGCGAACAGGCUUAGAUACCCUGGUAGUCCACGCUGUAAACGGUGGGUACUAGGUGUGGGGUCCAUUCCACGGGUUCCGUGCCGUAGCUAACGCUUUAAGUACCCCGCCUGGGGAGUACGGCCGCAAGGCUAAAACUCAAAGGAAUUGACGGGGCCCCGCACAAGCGGCGGAGCAUGCGGAUUAAUUCGAUGCAACGCGUAGAACCUUACCUGGGUUUGACAUGGAUCGGGAGCGCUCAGAGAUGGGUGUGCCUCUUUUGGGGUCGGUUCACAGGUGGUGCAUGGCUGUCGUCAGCUCGUGUCGUGAGAUGUUGGGUUAAGUCCCGCAACGAGCGCAACCCUUGUUCACUGUUGCCAGCACGUUAUGGUGGGGACUCAGUGGAGACCGCCGGGGUCAACUCGGAGGAAGGUGGGGAUGACGUCAAGUCAUCAUGCCCCUUAUGUCCAGGGCUUCACGCAUGCUACAAUGGCUGGUACAGAGAGUGGCGAGCCUGUGAGGGUGAGCGAAUCUCGGAAAGCCGGUCUCGGUUCGGAUUGGGGUCUGCAACUCGACCUCAUGAAGUCGGAGUCGCUAGUAAUCGCAGAUCAGCAACGCUGCGGUGAAUACGUUCCCGGGGCU